RNAcentral lists this ribosomal RNA (460 nucleotides) under uncultured bacterium. Its description in RNAcentral is "partial 16S ribosomal RNA". It matches the Rfam family "Bacterial small subunit ribosomal RNA", at positions 338 to 795 of the family's 1533-position model. The record is from RNAcentral.
CCUACGGGUGGCAGCAGUGAGGAAUAUUGGUCAAUGGACGAGAGUCUGAACCAGCCAAGUAGCGUGAAGGAUGACUGCCCUACGGGUUGUAAACUUCUUUUAUAUGGGAGUAAAAUGUUUCACGUGUGGGAUUUUGUAUGUACCAUAUGAAUAAGGAUCGGCUAACUCCGUGCCAGCAGCCGCGGUAAUACGGAGGAUCCGAGCGUUAUCCGGAUUUAUUGGGUUUAAAGGGAGCGUAGGUGGAUUUUUAAGUCAGUGGUGAAAGUCUGCGGCUCAACCUUAAAAUUGCAGUUGAAACUGGCAGACUAGAGUACAGUAGAGGUGGGCGGAAUGCGUGGUGUAGCGGUGAAAUGCUUAGAUAUCACGAAGAACUCCGAUUGCGAAGGCAGUUCACUGGACUGCAACUGACACUGAUGCUCGAAAGUGUGGGUAUCAAACAGGAUUAGAUACCCUAGUAGUC